AACCGAAAGGAGGACCCCUCCCGGACUCCUACAAAGGCCAAACUCCGACCACUACCGAGCCUCGAUCAACAGAUCCGCGCCCCUUGGCAGAUCACAAUAACAACCAUGAUCCUGUUCCACUUCCUGUAGCAGAUUCCGUGCGGCUCCAUCACCCCCUGCGGCGGACCCAUUACUCUCUGACAGGCUGUGUCAACGGCCACGAUGCUGCUCCAUUCCCUGCGGCAGGUGCUGCACGAUCCCACUACUCGCUGACAACUAGCGGCAACGGACGCCGCUCCACUACCUGCAACAGGCCCUACGUGGCGGGCUAUGACGAUAGCCACGGGUCUACCCCACUAUCUUUCGCAAUCAAUUCCCCUGACCAUGGGCGGCCCACUACCAGGCGGUUACAAACGUCGCCAUCAAUCCGUUACCUCCUCCGCCUAUAAAAGGG
This 433-nucleotide long non-coding RNA is filed under the name Elaeis guineensis (African oil palm). RNAcentral's name for it is "long non-coding RNA (EGUI_LNC053347)". Lineage: Eukaryota; Viridiplantae; Streptophyta; Magnoliopsida; Arecales; Arecaceae. The record is from RNAcentral.